AGCUUUGCGCAGUGGCAAUAUCGUAGCCAGUGAGGUUUAUCCGAGGGGCGAUUAUUUCUAAUUGAAAACUUUUCCCAAUACCCCACCAUGAUGGCUUGAAAUAUAGUCGGCAUUGGCAAUUUUUGACAGUCUCUAUGGAGA
RNAcentral lists this small nuclear RNA (141 nucleotides) under Echinops telfairi (small Madagascar hedgehog). RNAcentral's name for it is "U4 spliceosomal RNA (ENSETEG00000020531.1)". It matches the Rfam family "U4 spliceosomal RNA". From Rfam's summary of the family: U4 small nuclear RNA (U4 snRNA) is a component of the major U2-dependent spliceosome. Lineage: Eukaryota; Metazoa; Chordata; Mammalia; Afrosoricida; Tenrecidae. The record is from RNAcentral.